GCGGGUGUAACUCAGUUGGUAGAGUGUCUGCUUCCCAAGCAGAAUGUCGUCGGUUCGAGUCCGAUCACCCGCUCCA
This 76-nucleotide transfer RNA is filed under the name Chloroflexota bacterium. Its description in RNAcentral is "tRNA-Gly". It matches the Rfam family "tRNA". From Rfam's summary of the family: Transfer RNA (tRNA) molecules are approximately 80 nucleotides in length. Lineage: Bacteria; Bacillati; Chloroflexota. RNAcentral also lists the same sequence under 4 other names. The record is from RNAcentral.